Molecule: transfer RNA, 89 nt
Filed under: Clostridium sp. DMHC 10
Lineage: Bacteria; Bacillati; Bacillota; Clostridia; Eubacteriales; Clostridiaceae
Description: tRNA-Ser
Rfam family: tRNA
About the family: Transfer RNA (tRNA) molecules are approximately 80 nucleotides in length.
Source: RNAcentral
GGAGAAGUAUCGAAGUGGCCAUAACGAGCCGCACUCGAAAUGCGGUUGUCCUUCGGGGCACAUGGGUUCGAAUCCCAUCUUCUCCGCCA